CUUUUUUUUUGCCCUGCCCCUCUGCCAUCCUGUUCCUGCCAUGGAGCUGGUUGCCCAUGGACUGAAAUCAGAAGCCAAAAAUAAACGUCUUCUCCUUUAAAUCAUACAGUUUCAGUGGAUUUUGAAGAAGUAAGUUAAACAUGUUAAAAUGUACACCACCUUCUGAUUAGUUUGCUGGGACAAAGAACAAUACAAGCUGCCACCCAGGUUGCAGAUUACGCGAUGUGCUACAACUCCAGAUUUCUUCAAAGUCUUCUCAAGUUUUGUCUUUAGGUCAAGUACCUCCUUGAUAUAAUGUAAAAGUAAGGAUUAAAUUGUCAACCAAAAAAAAAAAAAAACGGAAGGAGUGUUGUUUAUGCUGUGAGUUUUUCUUUAUAUAGCUUUGAUUUACUACUAUGGAAAUUAGCAAAUCAUAAAGGGAAUUUAUUAAAUCCUGAAGGGCCAGAAAACUUCUUUUGGUGGAAUCACCCAAGAAAUGGCAUUUCUUUUUUUUUAACUAGUCAGAAACUAUCUUUUGGGGGGUGAAUAGAAACAAAAGAAUAAAAGGCUAAUUGUUAUUGAAAUGUUUGUUACAUUUGGAAAAAAAUUCUAUUUUUACAG
This 600-nucleotide long non-coding RNA is filed under the name Heterocephalus glaber (naked mole-rat). RNAcentral describes it as "lncRNA (ENSHGLG00100040882.1)". The record is from RNAcentral. Lineage: Eukaryota; Metazoa; Chordata; Mammalia; Rodentia; Bathyergidae.